Molecule: long non-coding RNA, 1274 nt
Filed under: Salvia miltiorrhiza (redroot sage)
Lineage: Eukaryota; Viridiplantae; Streptophyta; Magnoliopsida; Lamiales; Lamiaceae
Description: long non-coding RNA (SMIL_LNC008622)
Source: RNAcentral
CCAUAUUUCGUUCAAGAUGGUUGGGGAAAAUUCGUGCUUAAUUGCUCUCGAUCGCCGUGUAGUCGAGAAUCAUUCUUAUUCUUGCUAGGUGUCCCCCUCCCCCCCGGAAUGUGGUACAAUUCCUGAUACGGUACCUUUCUUUAUUCUAGCAUAAAAGUGUUUGUGAGGAAUACACUUGAGCGCACAUUGUAAAAGAGUUAUAAACUUUUCUUUAUUUUGGUUCUUGUUUCUCAAGGGAUUAGGUGCGCCUGAGAAGUUAACUUUCAAUUGUCCACCGUUGGUGAAAUUUUGGGAAGGUAUAGAGACACAGUAAAAUGGAGUCUUAUUGUAUAAGUCCUUGUAUAUCUUAACUUCAUAUAGUGGAUAGGUUUCCCUGGGCGAAGCCGCCCAUAUGUAGGUGUUUUAUCACCGAAUUGAGUUAUUUUUCUUGGUGUGCUAUUAAUUUACUAUUUUUUGAUACAUUAUGUGAUAUUGCAUCAGCAGACGUACCUGUUGUUACACAUCUCAUCACAUAUUCUAUGGAUUAGUCAUUCUUUUAGGGGUUAUGGCAAAAAAAAAUACACGAACUUUGAAUAAAAUUGCAAUUUCCACUUGAACUUUCAAUUAAGCCAAAAAAUACACGAAUUUGUAUUUUUGUUGCAAUUUUCACAUAAAUUUGACUUUCAACGGAAAUAGAGUUUAGUUCGCAGUUGAAAUUAAGUCAAAUAUAUUAUUUUUUGUCUUCUUAGACCUCCGAACUUCUAAAUCUCCCAUCAUCAGAAGUUAGACUAACAUCGGUGAACUUCUGACUCCAACUAAGCUUGAUGAGGAGUAAAAUAUGCACAAGCGUUGUUCAUAACAUGGCUGGAAUAUUUCUAUUUAUUAUUAUUAUUAUUAUUAUUAUUAUUAUUAUUAUUAUUAUUAUUAUUAUUAUUAUUACUAUUAUGGUUAUUUCUGAUAUUUGGUGCAGCUCUGACUUGACAGGGCUGACUUUCAAUCGGGAGAUAUUGUGGCAGCCUUAACCCGCUCUCAGCUUGGCAAGCUUAGCUCUGCCUCCCGGCUAUGUCGCGCCAGCUCUGGCAGCUCAAUUACAAGACGGAGAUCAGAAUAAGAAUUGGGUCUACUUGAGUUAAUGGGCCAUGUGCUAGCUAAUGGGCCUAAGGGCCUUAGGUUUACUCUAGUGCCUAUAAAUAUGAGUUUUAUCACUAGAUUAGGGGACUUUUGGAUUCAUUCACCUAUCAUUGUAAAAUGUAAACACACAAGUCAUAGUGAAAAAUUCUGAAGACCCACUCGUG